CUUGAAGACAAAGCCAUCUCCACCAAUCUGUUUGCUCCUCUCAGAGGCCGCUGUGUUUGUCUGAACUCUUCCCAGAAGAGACACUCCCCCAGGAACGCUGGUGAUGAUCCCUAGCUGGCCACAGGGGGAAGAAGGGAGGAACGAUGCGCCUUACUUGAUGGAAAAAGUAAAAUCAUCAUCACGUGGGAAUGAGAGAGCAGUCCGGGGAAGCCUAGCAGCGCUCUCAACCCGAAGGACCCACAGUGGCCCCAGAUCUUGCUUAAUAAGCUACCUGGGGCCUGGCAGGGAGGCCUGAUACGAUCAGGCUGCUACUUAAAUCACACAAAGCCUUCUAUUCUUAGCUGAGCAGGGGCUGGUUCCUUCCCUGCAGCCGGUCGGUGCUACCAGCCCUAGCAGUGGGGGCCUAGUGGUCAGUCACGGCCACAAGAAGAUGGCGAGCAUCCCUGUGACCAGACUGAAGCCCGAGAUCCCCACAGGAGGCUGUGGAGUGAGCCCCUGGUUUCCGGGGGGGUCUGCAGGGAGGCGGCCUAUGCUGGGUGGAGGACUGGAUCAGAUGACCCCUGAAGGUGACUUCCAAGUCUGAUCUGGUUCCCAAAGUCUUGAUUCCAAAGGGCCAAUUUUCUAAGGUUCCAUGAUUCAAUGCUUCCAAGGUUUGGAAAUAGAACAUUCCAUGGUUCUAAAGGUUGAGACUCCAAGAUGCAGACAAAGACCUGAGGCUGAUCUCCAGUCAGUGCACCUCUCCUUCCCCUUCAGAAGCAGAGGGUGGCCGGCUCCGAGCUGACCCUGGGGCCCCCGGCACACACAGUGCAGGCAGACUCAGCAACGAGGUACAGGGAGAGCCAGGCCUUGCCCUAGGCCACUGCCAACUCUGCAGAGCCGGGACUUGCACCCUGGGCUGCCUGGCUGCACAGUCCCAGCCUGGCCCCAGCUUCCACACACCCCAGGGAUUUGGAGGAUCCUCUGCUGGGGUCACAGGUUGAGAACGUAUCUAAGCUGCACUGACCAAGGAGCUCAACAGAAAUUUCCUCUUUUCUGCUUAUAGAGACCACAGGUCAAGUAUCUAAAAACCCAGUUUCUUUGCUCUGGGCUGGAAUUAGAUCCUCUCUGCAAAUUGGUGGCCAACUAUGUGUCCAGUGCCCUACUGGGUGUUCCUACCCACUGGAGUUUGACUUGACCUCACACCAGCCUUAUGAGGUUGGCCUAGGCUGAGCCUCAGAGUGGCCAUGUCACAAAUCCAAGGUUGCACAGGCAUGGGGUGGAGCUGGGACAGGAGCCCAGGGGUGUCAGGCCUUUUAAAGAUGGUGGAGAAUUGAUGUUUAUGUGCACUGGGCCUGGUCCUCAACAGACUGGUUAAACUUACACUGACCCUCCAUCAUACCCUUCUCUCCGCCUGCUCUCUGCCCUCAGCCCUCUGCCUCCACGCCAACCUGGAAGGCACAUCCAUCUGCACUGCCUCCAGGUACCAGCCAAGCCCAGCUGUCUGCACCCAACCCCAGCCCUGGGAGGUCUAGGACACCAUCUGGGAGCCACGCAGAAACAAGGGCAUUGAGAGGGACCCAUAGAACUCUGUCGGAAAAGAUGCUGGGCAUAGCCCAGCCCUGGACCCCUGCACCCACCCUGGGCAGGGUGGCUUUGACCAAGCACUGUGUGCGUGACAGGCUGCAGGCCCCCAGAGCAGGUGCCCCAGGCCCUGCUGAAAUAAAGUCACAUCCACACCAGAAACUUGAGUUGCCCCAACUAAUACCUCCUGGCACCAACUGGGAAGAGGAGCGGAUGGAAGGGUGACAGCCUCAUUCUGCCCCUCAGGCCCAAUGUCCCCCCAACUCCCAGCUACGAGGGACACAGGCCAGAGUCCCCUGCACAAGGGCAAGCCCUGUUGGACCCUACCUGUGAGCACACAGACAAGAUGGAGAGGGGGAGUUCCUGACACGUGCCCCCCAUACUUCCCCAGAGGCCACAUUUAAUACUCUGCAGGCCUCUGGGGUGCGGCUGGGAAGGGGGUGGUGCCUGGUCCCAGGACCCAGCAGGCUGAUUCUCUUUCUACUCAAAUGCUCACAGACACAGGAGUGCAGACACACAGCCUGAUCUGCAUGUGCAACGUGUACAUAAUUCAUGGGCUCCUAUCGCUUUGGCCUGGAUAAAAUGAACCCAGUGGGAGAAGCCACACAGAAAAUAAUAGAAAACUGAGGCUCAGAGGUAAAGCAACUACCCAUUUUCCUAGAGAAGGAAGAGGCAGAACUUCCUACCCAGCACCAGGCUGCUGCAUGCACAGUCCUCAACCCCAGCCUGGUCCACCGCCUUCUCCCCCAAAUCACAGCCUGGGGCCUUAGAAGAGCCAUAACAAGGGCACCAAGGCACUUCAUCCUGAGCUCAGAUGGCCAGCUGCUGAAAGAAGAAAGAAAGUAGACCCAGCCUGACCACCACACAGCAAAUGGGCUGCCGCCCCCCCACCCCACAGCGUCCACUGGGGCUGCCCAGCGGGCCAGGCGGCGGGAGUGGCAGGAACAGUCUGGUCUUCCCCUGCACACACGCACAAACUCCUGAGAGCCCUUCAGAGCUGAAAGGGAUGUGCUAGCUGACCUGGCUCAGCCAUGAGCUUGAGGAGCUCAAGAUCCUUUCCCUUUGAGGGAAAGGACUUAUCCAAGUUCUCACAGUGGAAACGUCUAGUCAGCCCACCAACCUACCAGUACCAGCCAGGUGCUGGGAACACUGGGAUGAACGUGACAUGGUCUGGCCUCCAAGGAGCUCCCAGUCAGGUGCGCACCCACUCAGUCAGCGUCUGGACCCUCACGAUCUGCCCCACCCAGCUUCCCCAGCUCAUAUUCAAAGACACCCCCUUUCC
Phyllostomus discolor (pale spear-nosed bat) is the source of this 2842-nucleotide long non-coding RNA. RefSeq lists it as uncharacterized. Lineage: Eukaryota; Metazoa; Chordata; Mammalia; Chiroptera; Phyllostomidae. The record is from RefSeq and is a predicted model, not a curated record. The transcript has 3 exons.